Non-coding RNA from Chlorocebus sabaeus (green monkey), 382 nucleotides. The record is from Rfam. NCBI's taxonomy places the organism in Eukaryota, Metazoa, Chordata, Mammalia, Primates, Cercopithecidae.
GCCGGGCGCGGUGGCUCAAGCCUGUAAUCCCAGCACUUUGGGAGGCCGAGACGGGCGGAUCACGAGGUCAGAAGAUCGAGACCAUCCUGGCUAACACGGUGAAACCCCGUCUCUACUAAAACUACAAAAAAAAACUAGCCGGGCGAGGUGGCGGGCGCCUGUAGUCCCAGCUUCUCGGGAGGCUGAGGUAGGAGAAUGGCGUGAACCCNNNNNNNNNNGGGUUCACGCCAUUCUCCUACCUCAGCCUCCCGAGAAGCUGGGACUACAGGCGCCGGCCACCUCGCCCGGCUAGUUUUUUUUUGUAGUUUUAGUAGAGACGGGGUUUCACCGUGUUAGCCAGGAUGGUCUCGAUCUCCUGACCUCGUGAUCCGCCCAUCUCGGC